AGAGUUUGAUCAUGGCUCAGGAUGAACGCUAGCGGCAGGCCUAACACAUGCAAGUCGAGGGGUAACAUAGGAAAGCUUGCUUUUCUGAUGACGACCGGCGCACGGGUGCGUAACGCGUAUACAACCUACCUUUUAGCGGGGAAUAGCCCAGGGAAACUUGGAUUAAUGCCCCAUAGUAUGGAGAUCUCUCCUGAGAUUUUCAUUAAACAUUUAUGGCUAUUAGAUGGGUAUGCGUCCUAUUAGUUAGUUGGUAAGGUAACGGCUUACCAAGGCAGCGAUAGGUAGGGGUCCUGAGAGGGAGAUCCCCCACACUGGUACUGAGACACGGACCAGACUCCUACGGGAGGCAGCAGUGAGGAAUAUUGGACAAUGGGCGAGAGCCUGAUCCAGCCAUGCCGCGUGCAGGAAGACUGCCCUAUGGGUUGUAAACUGCUUUUACAGAGGAAGAACCACUCCCACGUGUGGGAGUUUGACGGUACUCUGCGAAUAAGGAUCGGCUAACUCCGUGCCAGCAGCCGCGGUAAUACGGAGGAUCCAAGCGUUAUCCGGAAUCAUUGGGUUUAAAGGGUCCGUAGGCGGGCAGUUAAGUCAGUGGUGAAAGUCUUCCGCUCAACGGGAGAACUGCCAUUGAUACUGAUUGUCUUGAGUUAUUAUGAAGUGGUUAGAAUGAGUAGUGUAGCGGUGAAAUGCAUAGAUAUUACUCAGAAUACCGAUUGCGAAGGCAGAUCACUAAUAAUAUACUGACGCUGAUGGACGAAAGCGUAGGUAGCGAACAGGAUUAGAUACCCUGGUAGUCUACGCCGUAAACGAUGGUUACUAGCUGUUCGGCCCGAUUAAGGGCUGAGUGGUUAAGCGAAAGUGAUAAGUAACCCACCUGGGGGAGUACGUUCGCAAGAAUGAAACUCAAAGGAAUUGACGGGGGCCCGCACAAGCGGUGGAGCAUGUGGUUUAAUUCGAUGAUACGCGAGGAACCUUACCAGGGCUUAAAUGUAGUCUGACAGGCUGGAAACAGCUUUUUUCUUCGGACAGAUUAC
Molecule: ribosomal RNA, 1034 nt
Filed under: uncultured bacterium
Lineage: Bacteria
Description: bacterial SSU rRNA
Rfam family: Bacterial small subunit ribosomal RNA
Source: RNAcentral